RNAcentral lists this small RNA (238 nucleotides) under Pan troglodytes (chimpanzee). Lineage: Eukaryota; Metazoa; Chordata; Mammalia; Primates; Hominidae. The record is from RNAcentral.
GCCUGUAAUCCCAGCUACUCGGGAGGCUGAGGCAUGAUAAUCGCUUGAACCCAGGAGGCAAAGGUUGCAGUGAGCCAAGAUCGUGCCACUGCACUCCAGCCUGGAUGACAGAGCGAGACUCUGUCUGCCUUGGUUUUUUUCAGACAGUCUCACUCUGUCAUCCAGGCUGGAGUGCAGUGGCACGAUCUUGGCUCACUGCAACCUCUGCCUCCUGGGUUCAAGCGAUUAUCAUGCCUCA